AAACUUCACAAUGGGCGAAAGCCCGAUGAGGGAAUUCCUAGUGCUAGCACAUUUGUGUUAGCUUUUCCUUAGCGUAGAUAACUAGGGGAAUAAGGGCUGGGUAAGACGGGUGCCAGCCGCCGCGGUAAUACCCGCAGCCCGAGUGGUGGUCGAUUUUAUUGAGUCUAAAACGUUCGUAGCCGGUCUGAUAAAUCCCUGGGUAAAUCGGGUGGCUUAACCAUCCGAAUUCCGGGGAGACUGUCAGGCUUGGGAUCGGGAGAGGUAUGAGGUACUUCAGGGGUAGGGGUAAAAUCCUGUAAUCCUUGGAGGACCACCGGUGGCGAAGGCGUCAUACUAGAACGAAUCCGACGGUGAGGGACGAAGCCCUAGGUCGCAAACGGGAUUAGAUACCCGGUAGUCUAGGGUGUAAACGCUGCAGACUAGGUGUUGGAGGCCCUACGGGGGCGACCCAGUGCCCGAGAGAAGUUGUUAAGUCUGCUACUUGGGGAGUACGUCCGCAAGGAUGAAACUUAAAGGAAUU
Molecule: ribosomal RNA, 520 nt
Filed under: uncultured bacterium
Lineage: Bacteria
Description: bacterial SSU rRNA
Rfam family: Archaeal small subunit ribosomal RNA
Source: RNAcentral